Carassius gibelio (silver crucian carp) is the source of this 602-nucleotide long non-coding RNA. RefSeq lists it as uncharacterized. The transcript has 3 exons. The record is from RefSeq and is a predicted model, not a curated record. NCBI's taxonomy places the organism in Eukaryota, Metazoa, Chordata, Actinopteri, Cypriniformes, Cyprinidae.
GAACUUAUAAAUAUUAGUUUUCAUUUUUUUUUAGCUGAAAUGCUGUGGAUACAAAGGCUAUGAUGACUUCACAAGUUCAGCUUUUGUGAAGAAAACAUCAAACUAUCCCACACAAUGCUGCAGUAAUGAUCCAAAUCCAAUAUGUGGAAAAGACAAAGCUAAGGGAGAGAACAUGAGGGGCUGCAUUCAUGUGCUGUUUGACGAAAAUAUACCCAUAUCUGGAGCUUUGUCAUUUCUGAUCGGCAUUAUAGAGAUUGUUGCCUUAAUUGUUUCACUGAAAGUCUACCAAUGCUUGAGACGCUUGCCUGAUCUCCCAGACCCUUGUGAAAAUAAUCUGUGAUAAACGACUAUUGAUUUCUUUUUUUCUGUAUCUUUCAAAGUUCUUUGUGCUUUAUUAUUGCAUUUGACAAAAUAUUCAGAAUUUUUCUAUGAACAGUGAUGUGUGAAGACAAAGAAAGUAAAAUUAUUAUUAAAAUAUAUAAUUUACUAGUAUCUAUAGAAGUUUAACACUUUCAUGUUUCAGUGUCUAACAAAAAAUAUAUAAAAAUUUGCAUAGUGGCUCCUAAUUUCAUUCAAUAAAACUUAUGCUUAUUUUUAAAUAA